This 426-nucleotide unclassified non-coding RNA is filed under the name Artemisia indica var. maximowiczii. RNAcentral describes it as "partial miscellaneous RNA". The stretch from base 374 to 426 matches the Rfam family "Eukaryotic small subunit ribosomal RNA", at positions 1 to 53 of the family's 1831-position model. The record is from RNAcentral. Lineage: Eukaryota; Viridiplantae; Streptophyta; Magnoliopsida; Asterales; Asteraceae.
GCAACAACUUCCAUGCUUUCAGACCUCUUCAGUUGUGCGGCAAGGCUUGUAUCGCCUUGUCGUAUCGUGGGUUUUCUGUGUUGUAUACCUAAUCAAUGGUAUCGGUUGUGGAUUGAUCAAUGUUUCAUUUCGUCUGUCGUCGCAUUCGCGGCGUGAGACGAACCUCGAUGCGGUCUCUUUGGCCCACCUCGUCGAAGCACAUGCUUUGACGUUGUGGCACAUUGAGCAUUGCUUGGUCUCUUGUAUACGGAACAUAUAGUGGGCAUGGAUCUAACGAUUCUUGUUUGCCCUCAUGUUAGCGUAACGCUUCUCUUACACGACUUGCUCCACGUUUUAGCUCGUACGGACGUGGUGCUAUGUCGAAGAGGAAUGCUACCUGGUUGAUCCUGCCAGUAGUCAUAUGCUUGUCUCAAAGAUUAAGCCAUG